This 253-nucleotide ribosomal RNA is filed under the name uncultured bacterium. RNAcentral describes it as "partial 16S ribosomal RNA". It matches the Rfam family "Bacterial small subunit ribosomal RNA", at positions 524 to 776 of the family's 1533-position model. The record is from RNAcentral.
UACAGAGGUCCCGAGCGUUGUUCGGAUUCACUGGGCGUAAAGGGUGCGCAGGUGGGUUUGCAAGUUCGAUGUGAAAGCCCCGGGCUUAACCCGGGAAUGGCAUUGGAUACUGCAGAUCUGGAGGAUCGGAGGGGGGACUGGAAUUCUUGGUGUAGCAGUGAAAUGCGUAGAUAUCAGGAGGAACACCGGUGGCGAAGGCGGGUCUCUGGGCCGAUACUGACGCUGAGGAGCGAAAGCAUGGGUAGCGAACAGG